GUGCCCGCUUCGGCAGCACAUAUGCUAAAAGAUUAGCAUGGCCCCUGUGCAAGGAUGACACGCAAAUUCGUGAAGCGUUCCAUAGUUUU
This 89-nucleotide small nuclear RNA is filed under the name Physeter macrocephalus (sperm whale). The record is from RNAcentral. Lineage: Eukaryota; Metazoa; Chordata; Mammalia; Artiodactyla; Physeteridae.